UGGUCCUCGUAAGAGGGCGUG
This 21-nucleotide non-coding RNA is filed under the name Arabidopsis thaliana (thale cress). The record is from RNAcentral. Lineage: Eukaryota; Viridiplantae; Streptophyta; Magnoliopsida; Brassicales; Brassicaceae.